AUGUGAGCUAAUUGCCAAAUUACAACCUUCUGAUUGUGAUCUGGUGUUCUUUACAAGUCUAACUACAGAGAAUGAAUGGCUGAUCCUACAGACUUCAACAAUUUUCUGUCCUCAGACAGUGAUUUAUCAUAAUGAAUUAAUAAAAUG
This 147-nucleotide non-coding RNA is filed under the name Pongo abelii (Sumatran orangutan). The record is from RNAcentral. Lineage: Eukaryota; Metazoa; Chordata; Mammalia; Primates; Hominidae.